CUACGUGCCAGCAGCCGCGGUAAUACGUAGGUGGCAAGCGUUGUCCGGAAUUAUUGGGCGUAAAGCGCGCGCAGGCGGAUUGGUCAGUCUGUCUUAAAAGUUCGGGGCUUAACCCCGUGAUGGGAUGGAAACUGCCAAUCUAGAGUAUCGGAGAGGAAAGUGGAAUUCCUAGUGUAGCGGUGAAAUGCGUAGAUAUUAGGAAGAACACCAGUGGCGAAGGCGACUUUCUGGACGAAAACUGACGCUGAGGCGCGAAAGCCAGGGGAGCGAACGGGAUUAGAUACCCCGGUAGUCCUGGCCGUAAACGAUGGGUACUAGGUGUAGGAGGUAUCGACCCCUUCUGUGCCGGAGUUAACGCAAUAAGUACCCCGCCUGGGGAGUACGACCGCAAGGUUGAAACUCAAAGGAAUUGACGGGGGCCCGCACAAGCGGCGGAGCAUGCGGAUUAAUUCGAUGCAACGCGAAGA
This 467-nucleotide ribosomal RNA is filed under the name uncultured bacterium. RNAcentral describes it as "bacterial SSU rRNA". It matches the Rfam family "Bacterial small subunit ribosomal RNA", at positions 501 to 967 of the family's 1533-position model. The record is from RNAcentral.